RNAcentral lists this ribosomal RNA (468 nucleotides) under uncultured bacterium. RNAcentral describes it as "partial 16S ribosomal RNA". It matches the Rfam family "Bacterial small subunit ribosomal RNA", at positions 28 to 507 of the family's 1533-position model. The record is from RNAcentral.
GACGAACGCUGGCGGCGUGCUUAACACAUGCAAGUCGAACGGAAAGGACCUGCAUUUGUGGGGUGCUCGAGUGGCGAACGGGUGAGUAACACGUGAGUAACCUGCCCUUGACUUUGGGAUAACUUCAGGAAACUGGGGCUAAUACCGGAUAGGAGCUCCUGCUGCAUGGUGGGGGUUGGAAAGUUUCGGCGGUUGGGGAUGGACUCGCGGCUUAUCAGCUUGUUGGUGGGGUAGUGGCUUACCAAGGCUUUGACGGGUAGCCGGCCUGAGAGGGUGACCGGCCACAGUGGGACUGAGAUACGGCCCAGACUCCUACGGGAGGCAGCAGUGGGGAAGAUUGCACAAUGGGCGGAAGCCUGAUGCAGCAACGCCGCGUGCGGGAAGACGGCCUUCGGUUUGUAAACCGCUUUCGCCUGUGACGAAGCGUGAGUGACGGUAAUGGGUAAAGAAGCACCGGCUAACUACGUG